This 443-nucleotide ribosomal RNA is filed under the name Lutra lutra (Eurasian river otter). RNAcentral's name for it is "partial small subunit ribosomal RNA". It matches the Rfam family "Bacterial small subunit ribosomal RNA", at positions 767 to 1405 of the family's 1533-position model. The record is from RNAcentral. Lineage: Eukaryota; Metazoa; Chordata; Mammalia; Carnivora; Mustelidae.
CCAAACUGGGAUUAGAUACCCCACUAUGCUCAGCCCUAAACAUAGAUAGCUUACAUAACAAAACUAUCUGCCAGAGAACUACUAGCAACAGCUUAAAACUCAAAGGACUUGGCGGUGCUUUACAUCCCUCUAGAGGAGCCUGUUCUAUAAUCGAUAAACCCCGAUAUACCUCACCACUUCUAGCUGAAUCAGUCUAUAUACCGCCAUCUUCAGCAAACCCUCAAAAAAGGAAGAAAAGUAAGCACAAUAAUAAUACAUAAAAAAGUUAGGUCAAGGUGUAACCCAUGAAGUGGGAAGAAAUGGGCUACAUUUUCUAACCAAGAAUACACUCACGAAAGUUUUUAUGAAAACUAAAAACUAAAGGUGGAUUUAGUAGUAAAUUAAGAAUAGAGAGCUUAAUUGAAUGGGGCCAUGAAGCACGCACACACCGCCCGUCACCCUCC